RNAcentral lists this ribosomal RNA (484 nucleotides) under uncultured bacterium. RNAcentral describes it as "partial 16S ribosomal RNA". It matches the Rfam family "Bacterial small subunit ribosomal RNA", at positions 28 to 523 of the family's 1533-position model. The record is from RNAcentral.
GAUGAACGCUGGCGGCGUGCUUAACACAUGCAAGUCGAACGGUGAAGCAGGAGCUUGCUCUUGUGGAUCAGUGGCGAACGGGUGGGUAACACGUGAGCAACCUGCCCCUGACUCUGGGAUAAGCGCUGGAAACGGCGUCUAAUACUGGAUAUGUGAUGUGACCGCAUGGUCUGCAUCGGGAAAGAAUUUCGGUUGGGGAUGGGCUCGCGGCCUAUCAGCUUGUUGGUGAGGUAAUGGCUCACCAAGGCGUCGACGGGUAGCCGGCCUGAGAGGGUGACCGGCCACACUGGGACUGAGACACGGCCCAGACUCCUACGGGAGGCAGCAGUGGGGAAUAUUGCACAAUGGGCGGAAGCCUGAUGCAGCAACGCCGCGUGAGGGAUGACGGCCUUCGGGUUGUAAACCUCUUUUAGCAGGGAAGAAGCGAAAGUGACGGUACCUGCAGAAAAAGCACCGGCUAACUACGUGCCAGCCGCCGCGGUAA